CAGCCGCCGCGGUAAUACGGAGGGUGCAAGCGUUACUCGGAAUUACUGGGCGUAAAGCGUGCGUAGGUGGUGGUUUAAGUCCGUUGUGAAAGCCCUGGGCUCAACCUGGGAAUUGCAGUGGAUACUGGGUCACUAGAGUGUGGUAGAGGAUAGUGGAAUUUCCGGUGUAGCAGUGAAAUGCGUAGAGAUCGGAAGGAACAUCUGUGGCGAAGGCGACUAUCUGGGCCAACACUGACACUGAGGCACGAAAGCGUGGGGAGCAAACAGGAUUAGAUACCCGCGUAGUCCCUGUCUCUUAUAC
This 301-nucleotide ribosomal RNA is filed under the name uncultured bacterium. RNAcentral's name for it is "partial 16S ribosomal RNA". It matches the Rfam family "Bacterial small subunit ribosomal RNA", at positions 509 to 807 of the family's 1533-position model. The record is from RNAcentral.